GUAAAAGUCGUAACAAGGUUUCCGUAGGUGAACCUGCGGAAGGAUCAUUAUCGAGUUUUGACUGGGUUGUAGCUGGCCUUCCGAGGCAUGUGCACGCCCUGCUCAUCCACUCUACACCUGUGCACUUACUGUGGGCUUCAGAUCGUAAAACGGGUCCCUUUACCGGGCUUGCGGAGCGUGUCUGUGCCUGCGUUUAUCACAAACUCUAUAAAGUAUCAGAAUGUGUAUUGCGAUGUAACGCAUCUAUAUACAACUUUCAGCAACGGAUCUCUUGGCUCUCGCAUCGAUGAAGAACGCAGCGAAAUGCGAUAAGUAAUGUGAAUUGCAGAAUUCAGUGAAUCAUCGAAUCUUUGAACGCACCUUGCGCUCCUUGGUAUUCCGAGGAGCAUGCCUGUUUGAGUGUCAUGAAAUCUUCAACCUGCAAGCUUUUGUGGUUUGUAGGCUUGGACUUGGAGGCUUGUCGGCCGUUGUUGGUCGGCUCCUCUUAAAUGCGUUAGCUUGGUUCCUUGCGGAUCGGCUCUCAGUGUGAUAAUGUCUACGCUGCGACCGUGAAGCGUUUGGCGAGCUUCUAACCGUCUCAGUUGGAGACAACUUUAUGACCUCUGACCUCAAAUCAGGUAGGACUACCCGCUGAACUUA
This 639-nucleotide ribosomal RNA is filed under the name Ganoderma sp. 2 YD-2015. RNAcentral describes it as "eukaryotic LSU rRNA". The stretch from base 252 to 405 matches the Rfam family "5.8S ribosomal RNA". The record is from RNAcentral. Lineage: Eukaryota; Fungi; Basidiomycota; Agaricomycetes; Polyporales; Polyporaceae.